Molecule: small nuclear RNA, 116 nt
Organism: Eremothecium sinecaudum
Lineage: Eukaryota; Fungi; Ascomycota; Saccharomycetes; Saccharomycetales; Saccharomycetaceae
Source: RefSeq, a predicted model, not a curated record
GCAUAAACUUAAGUUGACUUGGUGGAUGAUCUCUUAUGAGGUUUCAUGACAGAUGCCAUGUUCAAUGUGUCUCUAUGCUAAGAGUAAAAUUUCCCUCGUCAUGGAACAGUCAUUAC